Molecule: ribosomal RNA, 265 nt
Filed under: uncultured Atopobium sp.
Lineage: Bacteria; Bacillati; Actinomycetota; Coriobacteriia; Coriobacteriales; Atopobiaceae
Description: partial 16S ribosomal RNA
Rfam family: Bacterial small subunit ribosomal RNA
Source: RNAcentral
AUAAAGUGGCGAACGGCUGAGUAACACGUGGGCAACCUGCCCUUUGCACUGGGAUAGCCUCGGGAAACCGAGGUUAAUACCGGAUACUCCAUAUUUGUCGCAUGGCGAAUAUGGAAAGCUCCGGCGGCAAAGGAUGGGCCCGCGGCCUGUUAGCUAGUUGGUGGGGUAGUGGCCUACCAAGGCAAUGAUGGGUAGCCGGGUUGAGAGACCGACCGGCCAGAUUGGGACUGAGACACGGCCCAGACUCCUACGGGAGGCAGCAGUU